AGUGAACGCUGGCGGUAGGCCUAACACAUGCAAGUCGAACGGCAGCACAGUAAGAGCUUGCUCUUACGGGUGGCGAGUGGCGGACGGGUGAGGAAUACAUCGGAAUCUACUUUUUCGUGGGGGAUAACGUAGGGAAACUUACGCUAAUACCGCAUACGACCUACGGGUGAAAGCAGGGGAUCUUCGGACCUUGCGCGAUUGAAUGAGCCGAUGUCGGAUUAGCUAGUUGGCGGGGUAAAGGCCCACCAAGGCGACGAUCCGUAGCUGGUCUGAGAGGAUGAUCAGCCAAACUGGAACUGAGACACGGUCCAGACCCCUACGGGAGGCAGCAGUGGGGAAUAUUGGAAAAUGGGGGCAAGCCUGAUCCCGCCAUCCCGCGGGGGUGAAGAAGGCCUUCGGGUUGUAAAGCCCUUUUGUUGGGAAAGAAAAGCAGCAGGUUAAUACCCCGCUGUUCUGACGGGACCCAAAGAAUAAGCACCGGCUAACUUCGG
RNAcentral lists this ribosomal RNA (491 nucleotides) under uncultured bacterium. Its description in RNAcentral is "partial 16S ribosomal RNA". It matches the Rfam family "Bacterial small subunit ribosomal RNA", at positions 29 to 506 of the family's 1533-position model. The record is from RNAcentral.